RNAcentral lists this ribosomal RNA (217 nucleotides) under uncultured prokaryote. RNAcentral describes it as "partial 16S ribosomal RNA". It matches the Rfam family "Bacterial small subunit ribosomal RNA", at positions 524 to 740 of the family's 1533-position model. The record is from RNAcentral.
UACGAAGGGGGCUAGCGUUGCUCGGAAUGACUGGGCGUAAAGGGCGUGUAGGCGGCGUGCACAGUCGGGUGUGAAAUUCCUGGGCUUAACCUGGGGGCUGCAUCCGAUACGUGUAGGCUGGAGUGGGGAAGAGGGCCGUGGAAUUCCCAGUGUAGAGGUGAAAUUCGUAGAUAUUGGGAAGAACACCGGUGGCGAAGGCGGCGACCUGGUCCUUGAC